Molecule: ribosomal RNA, 402 nt
Filed under: uncultured bacterium
Lineage: Bacteria
Description: partial 16S ribosomal RNA
Rfam family: Archaeal small subunit ribosomal RNA
Source: RNAcentral
ACACCGGCAGCUCAAGCGGUAGCCGCUUUUAUUGGGCCUAAAGCGUCCGUAGCCGGUCUGAUAAGUCUCUGGUGAAAUCCCACAGCUUAACUGUGGGAAUUGCUGGAGAUACUAUCAUGACUCGAGGUCGGGAGAGGCUGGAGGUACUCCCAGGGUCGGGGGGAAAUUCUGUAAUCCUGGGAGGACCACCUGUGGCGAAGGCGUCCAGCUGGAACGAACCUGACGGUGAGGGACGAAAGCCAGGGGCGCGAACCGGAUUAGAUACCCGGGUAGUCCUGGCCGUAAACGAUGUGGACUUGGUGUUGGGAUGGCUUCGAGCUGCCCCAGUGCCGAAGGGAAGCUGUUAAGUCCACCGCCUGGGAAGUACGGCCGCAAGGCUGAAACUCAAAGGAAUUGGCGGGG